RNAcentral lists this long non-coding RNA (278 nucleotides) under Gossypium barbadense (sea-island cotton). Its description in RNAcentral is "long non-coding RNA (GBAR_LNC009038)". The record is from RNAcentral. Lineage: Eukaryota; Viridiplantae; Streptophyta; Magnoliopsida; Malvales; Malvaceae.
GGUAGUGCGUUAAGGAUCAAAGUUGACAGCGAAAGUGUGGUAGCAAUUUUUUCCAUUAAGCGAUCAUGAUAUUAGUGAAAAAUUUUAGGGACGAAAUUUCUUUAAAGAGGGGUGAUUUGUCACACCCCAAAAUUGGGGUUAAGAGGAUCAAGGAUGGUAGGGUGAGUUAGUGAUUUUUUUGUUAGAUUUUUAUGUUUUUCCUUGCUCUUUAAAGACAGAAUAAGCAUACUAGUUUUGUGGGAGUUAGCUUACCCUUAGGUCUUGUGUUUGAAUCGUUG